Nilaparvata lugens (brown planthopper) is the source of this 2520-nucleotide long non-coding RNA. RefSeq lists it as uncharacterized. The transcript has 4 exons. The record is from RefSeq and is a predicted model, not a curated record. Lineage: Eukaryota; Metazoa; Arthropoda; Insecta; Hemiptera; Delphacidae.
GAAGUAGGCUACAAUUUGUGUUGUGUUCCUGUUUUAUCAUGAUAAGAGAAAUUAAAAUAUCAAUAUUAUAACAUAAAGAGAGUUUAGUUAGACGGUUAGAAAACAAUUUCAGACUAAUAUUUAUGAUGCAUCUAUCCAACGGCCAUAUCAAAAAUCAAAUAUGAAAUUGGGUUAACGAACAGGUUUCUGCGAAUGCAGUUCUGGAUUUCUGACCGGGGAAAUCCUUGAUCCGUUCUGGGAACUGCGAGGCUAUCUGAUAAUAAGAAGCGAAUACGAUAUUUGCAUUUUUAGCAAAGAGGAAAAGUGAACGCAGUGUAAAAGACUUACCAUAAGAGCAACAGAGAUGGGAACACGAGGAGAGUGAUGAUUUCUGAGAAAUCCCCACCCAUAGGAGACUAUUUCGGUCAUAGCGCAUGCGCAGUCUUUACUGGGAAUUCACAUUCCACAAUCUACUCUCCACACUUCACCGGCCGGCUAGGUAAAAAAUUUCUCCACUUCAUUAUUGUUAUUGGUUGUUAACGUGUGUGAAACAAAAAUAUCCACAGGAACUCACGUUUAUCUCUUCCAUAUACCGUGUCUUUGGUUGAACAGUAUUUGCUUUAAUCACGUAAGAAUAUUCAUCGUACUGUGUGCUGUAGAGUGUGACUGAUAACUACUGUGACCUCGUGGAGAGAAAGAGAGAGUGCAUUGCCCUCUCCUGGGUUCAGUGCCGUACUCACUCGGUACCCAGUUGAGCUGAAUUUUUUGGCAGUAAUAUUGCGUAAUUUUAUCGCAAAUCGGAGAGCCAAACGUGUCUUCUGAUCAGUGGUUCUGUUGAGUCAUCUUUUGCCAAAAUACUUGACUGUGAAUAAUUUUACUGCAGUAGUGAACCAAACGUGUGAUAGUGAGCAAAGGUACUUUUGAUCCUCAGCAAAAAGGAAAUUGUGAACAGGAAUUGUGAAUUUUAACAACAGUUGCUGCCCAGCAAUUCUAUCAGAGGGCCGGAUUCAAUUGAAAGUGUCAAGCGAAAGGAAAACGUACUUCAAAAGUAUUUCACGAUUUUCAAAAGUGCAAGAGGAUACUGAAUUACCGACCUUCAAACCAUCCAAAAUGAAAGUCAACAGGGAGAACAGGCGCAUCGGCAAAGAUGUAGCCAACCUUCUACACGAGGCCAUGAAAGAGAACGACUGACAUGCGGACUGACAGCAGCUGUUAGGCAACUCGACUUGGAUCCUCACAGAGUGGCCUUCUGCGUUCUCCCGCAGCUGGCCGAUGGAGACAGGGCCAACCACAUCCACACUGUGCUCCUACAAGCAUUCUGUUAUGAGCGCAACAUUGCUAUUAUACAGGUGGAAAACAUAGAAGGACUGCGAUAUCACACGAGAGCACCGGACUGCAGCUGUGUAGUUGUUUUGCAUCCCUGGGAAAAAGGAAGAGAGAUGUGUGCUGAGCACGACUUGCUUAGAAGAAUUCACGACUUCACUUCCAUCCUACAGACUCAAAACCAAUUUUCAAGUUGCCGAUGAAGUGACUGCACUAAGAAAGUCUUCAAGAAUGAACUUCAAGUGUACAAUAUUCUUGUUCAUCAGACAUGAUCGUUUAGAGAUAUCUAGACUAUCAGAUCGAUGAACUCAUACAUAGGCUACUUCAUGGUGUUGGCUCCAGUGGAAGCCAAUAAAUGUAUGUAGGCUAUAAAUGAUGUACGUACGGUAUAAUGCCUGUAUUUGUUAUCGGUUCAAUCAAGAUUGAAGUAUGAUCGGUCUAAUAUAAGAUUGCCGAAUCUAGGUCACAAAAUGGAGCAACAUCAAUGUUAAUUUGUCAAAAACUGGAUGUGAUCAAGUAAUCGAGAGUGUUGUGAAUUCAUCAAUUUUGUUAAUGCUUUAAAGUCAUCACAUUUAGGUUUGUUCGCAUUAACAAAAAUUAUAUAUUACAUUAGCCUACUAUAAUGUAAUUCGCGUUAUAAUUCCAGAUUCAGUUUAUUUAUAUCUCUGUGUAGAAAACCCCACUUCGAUCAAUCAAUCUAUUCAUUUUCAAAGCAACACUUAAGAAAAUAAGUUUGAAACUUGAUUUUUUUAAAGAUUUGAUUCACAGAGAGGCUGCUACUGGUUAGAAAAUAUUAGAGUUUGUAUGGUUUUUCUUACCUCUAAUAUCAAAUUGCUUCUGAAUGUUAUCAGAAAGUAAAGAAAAAUAAAAUUUAAUGAAAAAAGUGUUAAGGCUACUAUUUAAAUUUUGUUGUGAAGUGGAUUUUUUGAUACAUUAAUCGAUUCGCCCAUGAAAGAUUUGCUGUACAAUAUUCUAUUCAUUGAUUCAAAAUAACUUAAUAGAUGACUCAGCCAAGAAUGAGUACGGUAAAUAAAUUACACUGUAUGUAUUUUGUAAUUUUUAGAACGAUUAUUUCACAAAUAGAUUAUAAAAUUUAGAAUUAUUAUACUUAUAGAUUUUGUUUGUUAGUUUCAAUCGAUUUUAUAUAUGAUAUACAUAUUUAUUUAUCAAAUUAUAGAUCAUUUUAAUUUCUAAUUACAUAAAUAACAUUAUUAUGUU